This 484-nucleotide ribosomal RNA is filed under the name uncultured bacterium. RNAcentral's name for it is "bacterial SSU rRNA". It matches the Rfam family "Bacterial small subunit ribosomal RNA", at positions 28 to 507 of the family's 1533-position model. The record is from RNAcentral.
GAUGAACGCUAGCGGCAGGCUUAACACAUGCAAGUCGAGGGGCAGCACGAGUAGCAAUACUUGGUGGCGACCGGCGCAAGGGUGCGUAACGCGUGAGCAACAUGCCCGUAUCAGGGGGAUAAUCCAGGGAAACUUGGUCUAAUACCCCAUAGUAAUUUCGUAAGGCAUCUUAUGGGAUUUAAAGCUUUGGUGGAUACGGAUUGGCUCGCGUGACAUUAGCUGGAUGGUAAGGUAACGGCUUACCAUGGCUAUGAUGUCUAGGGGUUCUGAGAGGAAGGUCCCCCACACUGGAACUGAGACACGGUCCAGACUCCUACGGGAGGCAGCAGUGAGGAAUAUUGGACAAUGGAUGGAAAUCUGAUCCAGCCAUGCCGCGUGAAGGAAGAAUGUCCUAUGGAUUGUAAACUUCUUUUGUAUGGGAGCAAUAAGGUCUUCGUGAAGACUGAUGAGAGUACCAUACGAAUAAGCAUCGGCUAACUCCGUG